GGCGGCGAGCCCCGGGGCCGGGGGGGGAGCGGGGAGGGCCCGGCGGCGGCGAUGCCUUUGUCAUGGGGGCGCCCCCACCCCCCCCCCCCCUCACCCCACACCCGGCCUGCUAGGGCGGGGCUACAGCGGCUCGGCGGCUCCUGAUUGGCUGAGCCGGCUGUCAGUCACCCGCCCGAGGGGCGCCGCCCUUCGCCUGUGAGGAGCGGCCCCCCCGCCGCUGAGGGGUGGGGUGGAUGGGCGGGGCGGCGCGCUCCCAUUGGUUGACGUAUCCACUCGCCCCGCCCCCUGCGCGGAGCGGGCGCUCUCAUUGGCCGGCGGGGCUGUCCGUCAGGAGGGGCCGCGGCCCCGCUUUGUGCCUAGGGGGACAAUGGGGCCGCGCUCCCGGCAUGCUCCGCGCCCAGGCCUCGGCCGCGCUCCCGGCAUGCACCGGGCGCCGCCCCUCACAGCGGGACCCCCCCCCCCCCCACCCCCCCCCCCUCCUGGCGGCGGCUCCGGGGCGCAGCGGGCCGGGACCCCCCCGGGUCCCAAAUUCCCAUCACAAAAUCCCCCGCUCAGCCCCUCAGGGCUCCGCCCGGCCUGGGCCACGUCGGCGGGGGCCGCAUUUGGGGUGUGGCGGCUGUUAUGGGCCGGUGGGGCCGGCGGUGGGGCCCGGCCGUCACCCACAGUGUGCCUGGGGGAGCUGGGGCGGCCUGAGGGGAGGGGGGGGGGAUGGGGGCUGGGGGGAGCGGUGGGGGCUGGGGGGAGCCUCCUCGGCUGAGUCACGCGUUGCCGCCCCUCCCUUCUGGCUGCUGCUGUCAGCGAGCCUGUUUUUGCUGUUUCAGAGGGUCAGUGCUGCCUUCUCUGCGCGUCAUCUGAGCUUCCCCUGAAUCCUUUCACCGUGUGGCGUGUGCCUGCUAGCCUAGCACACCUCAACGCACUCCUUUUUUACAAUCUGAACGGUUUAUAGAUCUCAAAUCGAGUCAGUCCUUCCAACCCUUCCUUUAUUAUCCAUCCCACUUGCCUCUCUAUAACUGAAGCUCCCUGAGACACGUUGUUGUUGUUGUUUCUUCCCCUGGAAUCACAGCGGGGAGAUUACUGGGGGCUUAAGGGCAGGGCUUAGGUCGAUUGUUCUUAGCGGUGACUGGAGUAAUGUUGAUCCUGCUGUGUUGCAGUGAGUAGCUAGCCGUUAGCUCUUCCCAGGCACUCUGAGGAAGAAUUUAUUACGAUACAGUCAUGUAAUAGCAGCCUAACGGCUGCCUUUUUGUUACUUAGCUCAAUGAUUGCUUGUUCCUCCCUGCUUCAGACCUAAAGAAAGGUUCACGUGCUGCCAGAAACCGACUCUGUUUCUUUUGUCGUUUUAACAGCUGGUCUUAAAAGCUAAUUCUUUUGCCUUUCUGCUAAAUGAGUUCCCUCUUUCCCCUCCCAGUGCGAGCUGUGGAAUGAAGCAGUUGUUGUGAGAUCCGCCUUCAGUGCUCCCAGGCUGUCAGCCGAUGAGCCCUGUGGUGACGUUGCAUUUUUGGUGCUCUCGGGAGCUCAGGCAGGAUGGGAAACGGGGCUGCACGGAGAGGUGGUGCCGCUCCUGCUGCCUCACAGAGCUGCCGACAGCUUUCCAAGGCUGAACGCUGCCCUGUCCCAUGGACGUGCACCUGUGGGAGGGCAGGGCAGGGGAGCUGAGGUUCUGAGCUGGUAAACAAGGCAGACCCUCCCUGUUCCAGCCUGCCCCAGUAUCCCAGCAUGUUCCAAAAGGACACUCAGGUAUGUGGCCACAAAAAAACGUGACUUAUUUUUUGUACCAAACAGUGCGCUCAGCUCCCCGAUUCCAGCAGGGAGUUUUGUAGUGUACAGCGAGAGGCUGCAGCUGUACCUCUGCACAGUCUGAUGCUCCUCCCUGUCCAUUAAAGAAAAAAGAAACCAGCAAGGAGGAUGAAAGCCCAGCCAGGAUAGCUACCGGUGGAAGGAUGUUAAUUUUGAAAUUCUUUUAAAUUUUAAUAAACCUGAGCUUACAGCA
This is a non-coding RNA of Anas platyrhynchos (mallard), 1987 nucleotides long. NCBI's taxonomy places the organism in Eukaryota, Metazoa, Chordata, Aves, Anseriformes, Anatidae. The record is from RefSeq and is a predicted model, not a curated record.